Molecule: transfer RNA, 77 nt
Filed under: Phormidium sp. FACHB-592
Lineage: Bacteria; Bacillati; Cyanobacteriota; Cyanophyceae; Oscillatoriales; Oscillatoriaceae
Also listed under: 1 other name
Description: tRNA-His
Source: RNAcentral
GUGACUGAACCCGAAGUGGUAGAGGGGCUGGUCUGUGACACCAGUGUUAGCGAGUUUGACUCUCGUCAGUCACCCCA